Molecule: ribosomal RNA, 652 nt
Filed under: Escherichia coli
Lineage: Bacteria; Pseudomonadati; Pseudomonadota; Gammaproteobacteria; Enterobacterales; Enterobacteriaceae
Also listed under: 2 other names
Description: bacterial SSU rRNA
Rfam family: Bacterial small subunit ribosomal RNA
Source: RNAcentral
UACGGCCGCAAGGUUAAAACUCAAAUGAAUUGACGGGGGCCCGCACAAGCGGUGGAGCAUGUGGUUUAAUUCGAUGCAACGCGAAGAACCUUACCUGGUCUUGACAUCCACGGAAGUUUUCAGAGAUGAGAAUGUGCCUUCGGGAACCGUGAGACAGGUGCUGCAUGGCUGUCGUCAGCUCGUGUUGUGAAAUGUUGGGUUAAGUCCCGCAACGAGCGCAACCCUUAUCCUUUGUUGCCAGCGGUCCGGCCGGGAACUCAAAGGAGACUGCCAGUGAUAAACUGGAGGAAGGUGGGGAUGACGUCAAGUCAUCAUGGCCCUUACGACCAGGGCUACACACGUGCUACAAUGGCGCAUACAAAGAGAAGCGACCUCGCGAGAGCAAGCGGACCUCAUAAAGUGCGUCGUAGUCCGGAUUGGAGUCUGCAACUCGACUCCAUGAAGUCGGAAUCGCUAGUAAUCGUGGAUCAGAAUGCCACGGUGAAUACGUUCCCGGGCCUUGUACACACCGCCCGUCACACCAUGGGAGUGGGUUGCAAAAGAAGUAGGUAGCUUAACCUUCGGGAGGGCGCUUACCACUUUGUGAUUCAUGACUGGGGUGAAGUCGUAACAAGGUAACCGUAGGGGAACCUGCGGUUGGAUCACCUCCUUA